GACGAACCGUGCGAACGUUCUUCGGAAUCACUGGGCUUAAAGCGCGUGUAGGCGGAUCGGUGCGUCGGCGCCUGAAAUCCCCCGGCUCAACCGGGGAACGCGGCCCGAAACGACCGGUCUGGAGGGACGUAGGGGGGCCUGGAACUUCCGGUGGAGCGGUGAAAUGCGUUGAGAUCGGAAGGAACGCCCGUGGCGAAAGCGAGGCCCUGGACGUCUGCUGACGCUGAGACGCGAAAGCUAGGGGAGCGAACGGG
RNAcentral lists this ribosomal RNA (254 nucleotides) under uncultured bacterium. RNAcentral's name for it is "partial 16S ribosomal RNA". It matches the Rfam family "Bacterial small subunit ribosomal RNA", at positions 524 to 776 of the family's 1533-position model. The record is from RNAcentral.